CAGCAACAGGGUGCGGCCGGGUGGGGAACGCGGGAGCGGGGCCAGCUCCCAGGAAGGCUGGUCCGCGACCGGCUCCUGCUCGGCUCCCAGGUCCCUGCGCGCCCCCGCCCUUCCCGAGACCCCAGCCAGGCUGCCGCCCGCGUCCCGGAAGCUCCAGCCUGAACCAUGUUUUUCACUUGUGGCCCAAAUGAGGCCAUGGUGGUCUCCGGUAAGUACUGUUGUUCCCUUCCCAGCCAGUGACCCCAGAACCCCUGUGAGUCUGGCCUCUGCCCCUUCUCCCUCUCCCUACCAACUUCCCAGCGCCAGACUUCUGCCCCUUGAUGGCCACGAACUGGCCAGUUUGAUUCCCACCAUUCUAAGGCCCAGACUGCUUCCCCUCCAGCUCCCAGAUUCUCUCCUGUGGGUUGCUGUCCCCUCGCCACCCCCUCCCCCAGUUCCUCAGUCUUCCACAUUCAAGCUCUGCCACAUUUCCUCACUGCCCCUCACCUUGCAGGGUUCUGCCGAAGCCCCCCAGUCAUGGUGGCUGGAGGGCGUGUCUUUGUCCUGCCCUGCAUCCAACAGAUCCAGAGGUAGGCAAGAAGGGAACCAGGGAAGGGGGACCUCCGUUUUCUCUUUUUCCUCCUCUUCUUACUGUCUGCCCCUUCUUUUUCCCCUAGGAUCUCUCUCAACACACUGACCCUCAAUGUCAAGAGUGAAAAAGUUUACACUCGCCAUGGGGUCCCCAUCUCAGUCACUGGCAUUGCCCAGGUGAAGCUUUCAGAGCCUUUUCCCCAAAGUCCACUUCCCCAUCACCCUCUCUCCCAGACAUUAAGACAUCUUCUGGCCACAGCCUUCUUAACCCUUGCCUGCAGAGAAGUUCCUCUGCUAGUCUCAUCUUUUCCAGGCACCCCCAAGGCACUUGCCUCCUCCUCCUUUCUUUCCCUGAAAUGGAAGAAGCAUUUCUUAGAGGGCUCUCCCUUCUCUCUCUGCUUCUUCUCUGACUUCAUGAGACCCCACCACACCUUUCC
RNAcentral lists this small RNA (1007 nucleotides) under Pongo abelii (Sumatran orangutan). RNAcentral's name for it is "retained intron". The record is from RNAcentral. Lineage: Eukaryota; Metazoa; Chordata; Mammalia; Primates; Hominidae.